AAAAAAUUAAUAAUUUAAUAACUAAUAAAAAAAUUUUUAAUAUAAAUAUAUAUAUAAUUGGGGGGUUAUAGUAUUUAUAUAAAAAAAAUUUAUUAAUUUAUAGUAAAUUAGUAUUGUAAAAGAAUUAUAAAAUAAUUUGAAAAUAAUUUUAUUUUAAAGUAAUUUUAAUUUAAUGUAUCUUGUGUAUCAGAGUUUAUUAAUUAUAAUUUUUAUUUAAAUAUUUCUCGAAUUUAAAAGAGAUAAUUAAUUAAUAAAGUUAUUGUAGUAUAAAUAUUUUAAAUAAUUAAUUUGAAAUGAAAUGUUAAUCGUUUUUAAAUAUAUCUAGUUUUUUUAGAAAAAAAUUUAAUUUUAAAUAAAAUUAAAAUUAUAUUAAUUAAUUAAUUUAUUUUUAAUUUUAUUUAAUAAUUUAAGGGAUAAGCUUUAAAUUAAAUUUUUAUAAUAAAUAAAUUAAGUUUAUUUAAAAUUUUUAUAAUUUAUAUUGUUAAAAAAUUAUAAUUUAUUAUAAAUAAUUUUAUUUAAAAUAAAAUUUAAUUUUAAAUUUAAAUUUUUAUAAAAAAAAAUUUUUUAAUUUAAAAAAUUUUGUUAUAAUGAUAAAAUUAGUAAAUAAUUUUUUAUUAAUUAUUUAAAAAUUUAUUUUUAAAAAUUAAUUAAAAGGAAUUCGGCAAAAUUUAAAUUUUAUAUUCACUUGUUUAUCAAAAACAUGUCUUUUUGUUAUAUAAUUUAAAGUCUAAUCUGCCCACUGAUUUAAUUAUUAAAGGGCUGCAGUAUAAUGACUGUACAAAGGUAGCAUAAUCAUUAGUCUCUUAAUUGGUGACUUGUAUGAAGGAUUGAAUGAAAUAUAAGCUGUCUCUUAAUUAUAUAUUGAAUUUAAUUUUUUAUUUAAAAAGUUAAAAUAAUUUAAAAAGACGAGAAGACCCUAUAGAGUUUUAUAAUUAAUUUUAUAUAAUUUAUUUAUUAAUUUUUUAAUUUAGAUGAAAUUAUUUAUUUUAUUGGGGUGAUAGAAAAAUAAAUUUAACUUUUUUUUAUUUUAUACAUAAAUAAUUGUAUAUAUGAUCCAUAAUUGAUGAUUAUAAGAAAAAAUUACCUUAGGGAUAACAGCGUAAUUUUUUUUUUUAGUUCAAAUAAGAAAAAAAGUUUGCGACCUCGAUGUUGGAUUAAGAUAAAAUUUAAAUGCAGAAGUUUAAAAUUUUUGAUCUGUUCGAUCAUUAAAAUCUUACAUGAUCUGAGUUCAAACCGGUGUAAGCCAGGUUGGUUUCUAUCUUUUAAAAUAUGAAAUAUUUUAGUACGAAAGGAUUAAAUAUUUAAAUUAAAUUUAAAUAUUAAUGAAUAUUAUUAAUUUAACGUAUAUAUAUAUAUAUAUAUAUAUAUAUAUUAC
Molecule: ribosomal RNA, 1375 nt
Filed under: Auzata chinensis
Lineage: Eukaryota; Metazoa; Arthropoda; Insecta; Lepidoptera; Drepanidae
Description: 16S ribosomal RNA
Source: RNAcentral